CAGCAGCCACGGUAAUACGAAGGGGGCUAGCGUUGCUCGGAAUUACUGGGCGUAAAGGGAGCGUAGGCGGACAUUUAAGUCAGGGGUGAAAUCCCAGAGCUCAACUCUGGAACUGCCUUUGAUACUGGGUGUCUUGAGUGUGAUAGAGGUAUGUGGAACUCCGAGUGUAGAGGUGAAAUUCGUAGAUAUUCGGAAGAACACCAGUGGCGAAGGCGACAUACUGGAUCAUUACUGACGCUGAGGCACGAAAGCGUGGGGAGCAAACAGGAUUAGAUACCCGCGUAGUCCCUGUCUCUUAUAC
Molecule: ribosomal RNA, 301 nt
Filed under: uncultured bacterium
Lineage: Bacteria
Description: partial 16S ribosomal RNA
Rfam family: Bacterial small subunit ribosomal RNA
Source: RNAcentral